This 2473-nucleotide ribosomal RNA is filed under the name Nothotrichia cautinensis. RNAcentral's name for it is "partial large subunit ribosomal RNA". Lineage: Eukaryota; Metazoa; Arthropoda; Insecta; Trichoptera; Hydroptilidae. The record is from RNAcentral.
CGAAACGGGAAGAGCCCAUCGCUGAAUCCUGCGGCCCAGGCGGGCCGCCGGGAAAUGUAGCGUUCGGGAGGAGAGUUAAAUUUAUACGCGCGGUCAUUAGUCACGGCUGCCUGUCCAAGUUCAUCUUGAACGGGGCUCCGCUUGCCCGCAGAGGGUGCCAGGCCCGUGGUGACGGUAGCCGGCCGCGACGGUCUCUCUCCCCAGAGUCGGGUUGCUUGAGAGUGCAGCCCUAAGCGGGUGGUAAACUCCAUCUAAGGCUAAAUACUACCACGAGACCGAUAGCGAACAAGUACCGUGAGGGAAAGUUGAAAAGAACUUUGAAGAGAGAGUUAAAGAGUACGUGAAACCGUUCAGGGGUAAACCUGUGGAACUCGAACGAUCGAACGGGGAGAUCAUCGCUCUUCCGCGCUCGGUCCGYGCCUGCUUCGCGCACCGGCGCGCCCCGUCCCGUCUUCNCGUCGGGCGGGCGCGCGUCUGACUCGUGGUUCGAGUCGACAGGCNGGCGGAAUUGCGUGCACUUCUCCCUCAGUAAAACACCGCGACCCGUCGCGCCGCGGUCGAAUGCGCCGUGCGGUUGUCCCGCUCCGUAUAUUCGGGGCGGAGCCGCGCCGGUGUCCACGGCCGCCGCUCGUGCGACGGUAGAGAACGAGGUAUCCGUCCGCCCGCAGUGCGGGCGUCCGCUCCGUCGCAGCGUACGCGUCCCCCGGCGCCUGGUGCGUCUCGCGGGCUGGCGCGUGUCGUUUAGGUUGCGUGUAUGGUGACGCGAGCUCGGACAGGACGGUGGUCCCGGUCGGCGGUGGUUUUGUUUCGGGCACUCACAGGACCCGUCUUGAAACACGGACCAAGGAGUCUAGCAUGUGCGCGAGUCAUUGGGAUUUUGAUUUUCAUACUAAACCCAGAGGCGCAAUGAAAGUGAAAGUCGGCACUCGCUGCCGACGAAGGGAAGAUGCGCGAGCGGCUUCCGGCCGUUCCGCCGCAUUCCCGAGGCGUUUCGAGAAAGCCACCGUGCCAUUACCGARACGCACUGAGAGCGUACACGCUGGGACCCGAAAGAUGGUGAACUAURCCUGGUCAGGUCGAAGUCAGGGGAAACCCUGAUGGAGGACCGAAGCGAUUCUGACGUGCAAAUCGAUCGUCGGAACUGGGUAUAGGGGCGAAAGACUAAUCGAACUAUCUARUAGCUGGUUCCCUCCGAAGUUUCCCUCAGGAUAGCUGGNNNNNNNNNNNNNNNNNNNNNNNNNNNNNNNNNNNNNNNNNNNNNNNNNNNNNNNNNNNNNNNNNNNNNNNNNNNNNNNNNNNNNNNNNNNNNNNNNNNNGGCUCGGGGCGCGAAGAGCAUCGCCGAUGCGGCGGUGUCCGGAUCGUCCCCUCGGACCUUGAAAAUUCAGGUGAGGGAUACGCGGAGAUGUCGCGCCGGCUCGUACCCAUAUCCGCAGCAGGUCUCCAAGGUGAAUAGCCUCUAGCCGAUAGAAUAAUGUAGGUAAGGGAAGUCGGCAAGUUGGAUCCGUAACUUCGGGAUAAGGAUUGGCUCUGAGGGCCGUGGCGUGUCGGGCCUGGUCGGGAUGAGGGCAUCGGCCGAGACGCGGAAGCCGGGCGCGGACGGUCCCUUCGCGGGGACAAUACGCGCCCGGCGCCUCGCCUUGGCCUCCCCUCGGAUCUUCCUCGCUGUGUGGCGCGUCGGGCGCGCGAGCGUUCGGCGCCGUCUGUACGGCCGCCGGAUAACGGUCGACUCAGAACUGGCACGGACAAGGGGAAUCCGACUGUCUAAUUAAAACAAAGCAUUGCGAUGGCCCUCGCGGGUGUUGACGCAAUGUGAUUUCUGCCCAGUGCUCUGAAUGUCAACGUGAAGAAAUUCAAGCAAGCGCGGGUAAACGGCGGGAGUAACUAUGACUCUCUUAAGGUAGCCAAAUGCCUCGUCAUCUAAUUAGUGACGCGCAUGAAUGGAUUAACGAGAUUCCCAUCUGUCCCUAUCUACUAUCUAGCGAAACCACUGCCAAGGGAACGGGCUUGGGAGAAUCAGCGGGGAAAGAAGACCCUGUUGAGCUUGACUCUAGUCUGGUACUGUGAGGUGACAUGAGGGGUGUAGAAUAAGUGGGAGGCGUUCGUUCCUCGCGUUCGUUCGCCGAACGUGAAAUACCACUACUUUCAUCGUUUCGUCACUUACUCAGUUGGGCGGAGGGCGUGCGCCGGCUUCAACGCCGCGCGUCACGGGUUUUUCGCGCCAAACGUGUACGGGGCGGCGAGCCGCCGUGCGCGGAGUGCGCGCGUUCGUCCGGCGCGCCCUUCACGGGGCGUGUCCGGCGCGCGCGCGCGUGCGACGCGUUCGGCGUCGCCGCAAUACCCCGCGUGAUCCGUUCUGAGGACACUGCCAGGCGGGGAGUUUGACUGGGGCGGUACAUCUGUCAAAGAAUAACGCAGGUGUCCUAAGACCAGCUCAGCGAGGCCGGAAAUCUCGCGUCGAGCAAAAGGGCAAAA